Molecule: long non-coding RNA, 455 nt
Filed under: Setaria viridis
Lineage: Eukaryota; Viridiplantae; Streptophyta; Magnoliopsida; Poales; Poaceae
Description: long non-coding RNA (SVIR_LNC000320)
Source: RNAcentral
UAGCGUUUGAUAGCCCCUAAGUAGGUCGAUCCACAUCUAGAAUACAUGCGACAAUCUCAGGUCUAAGGACAAAGCGUAUAUGUUGUUUAAAGAGAGAACUACUUCUCGUGUUGGGUCAGUCCUAGCACAUGUCUCCACAUGUGUCCACAUUAUUAGUUCAACAUCUCCAUGUCCAUGACUUGUGAAACAUAGUCAUCAACUAAUACAUGUGCUAGUCUAAUAUUCAUGUGUGUCCUCACAUGAACUCCGACUAGGGACAACUUUAGAAUAACCAUACAAGUAAAGAGUUUCACACACAAUUCACAUAAUUGCAAAUCAAUUCAAGUAGCCUUCAAUGGAUAUUCAAUGAACACAACAUACAAAUCAUGGAUACAAAUGGAAUAUCAUCAUCUCUAUGAUUGCCUCUAGGGCAUACCUCCAACAGUCUCCCACUUGCACUAGAGUCAAUCUAGAAG